UACGUAGGGUGCGAGCGUUAAUCGGAAUUACUGGGCGUAAAGCGUGCGCAGGCGGUUCGUUGUGUCGGCGGUGAAAGCCCCGGGCUUAACCUGGGAAUGGCCGUCGAAACUGGCGAACUGGAGUGUGGCAGAGGGGGGUGGAAUUCCGCGUGUAGCAGUGAAAUGCGUAGAGAUCCGGAGGAACACCAGUGGCGAAGGCGGCUCGCUGGGCUUUUUCUGACGCUGAGGCGCGAAAGCGUGGGGAGCGAACCGG
This 253-nucleotide ribosomal RNA is filed under the name uncultured bacterium. RNAcentral describes it as "partial 16S ribosomal RNA". It matches the Rfam family "Bacterial small subunit ribosomal RNA", at positions 524 to 776 of the family's 1533-position model. The record is from RNAcentral.